UCUUUUGCUGGCUUCAUCAGAGGUCUGCUCCCCUUAAAUGCAUUAGCCGGUGCCCUGCGUGGAGCCGUCUAUUGGUGUGAUAAUUAUCUACGCCGUGGACGUCCACUUUUAAUGGGAUGCGCUGCUUCUAACCGUCCAUUCACUUGGACAAUUAAUGACAAUUUGACCUCAAAUCAGGUAGGACUACCCGCUGAACUUAA
Molecule: unclassified non-coding RNA, 200 nt
Filed under: soil metagenome
Description: partial contains internal transcribed spacer 2 and large subunit ribosomal RNA
Source: RNAcentral